AAUGGAUUAAGAGCUUGCUCUUAUGAAGUUAGCGGCGGACGGGUGAGUAACACGUGGGUAACCUACCCAUAAGACUGGGAUAACUCCGGGAAACCGGGGCUAAUACCGGAUAAUAUUUUGAACUGCAUAGUUCGAAAUUGAAAGGCGGCUUCGGCUGUCACUUAUGGAUGGACCCGCGUCGCAUUAGCUAGUUGGUGAGGUAACGGCUCACCAAGGCGACGAUGCGUAGCCGACCUGAGAGGGUGAUCGGCCACACUGGGACUGAGACACGGCCCAGACUCCUACGGGAGGCAGCAGUAGGGAAUCUUCCGCAAUGGACGAAAGUCUGACGGAGCAACGCCGCGUGAGUGAUGAAGGCUUUCGGGUCGUAAAACUCUGUUGUUAGGGAAGAACAAGUGCUAGUUGAAUAAGCUGGCACCUUGACGGUACCUAACCAGAAAGCCACGGCUAACUACGUGCCAGCAGCCGCGGUAAUACGUAGGUGGCAAGCGUUAUCCGGAAUUAUUGGGCGUAAAGCGCGCGCAGGUGGUUUCUUAAGUCUGAUGUGAAAGCCCACGGCUCAACCGUGGAGGGUCAUUGGAAACUGGGAGACUUGAGUGCAGAAGAGGAAAGUGGAAUUCCAUGUGUAGCGGUGAAAUGCGUAGAGAUAUGGAGGAACACCAGUGGCGAAGGCGACUUUCUGGUCUGUAACUGACACUGA
Molecule: ribosomal RNA, 700 nt
Filed under: Bacillus mycoides
Lineage: Bacteria; Bacillati; Bacillota; Bacilli; Caryophanales; Bacillaceae
Description: bacterial SSU rRNA
Rfam family: Bacterial small subunit ribosomal RNA
Source: RNAcentral